GAUAUUUCUCUUAUUUUGGGCCGGGUAUAUUGGGCCCAUUUAUCAGUUUAAUCUGUUGGGCUUUUAUAAUUAAGUCAUGGGACUCUUUGAGCCCAUUUAUUGUGUCAACUUUAUUUAAUCCUAUUGGACCGGGUCGGUUCGUUGAAUUAACUCAUUGGGUCAUUUAAUAUCUAUUACUUUGACUUGUAAUGAUGAUAUAGUAUGACAGUUGACCAAGAUAUUUGCCAUGCAUUAAUGUGGAUGGGAUUAUAGUCGGCCGGCGGUGCAAACAGUGGCCAAGAGCAGUGGAUGAACUCCAUGCAGUCGGUCGAACCCAUCAGGUCAGGGGGAUAUGUCAGGUGAUAGUGGGCGGCACGAUAAUCCAAGCAAGGAUAUUAUUUCUUAGUGAGUAAGUCUUCACAAGGAGGUACGUUUCAUUCAUA
Molecule: long non-coding RNA, 422 nt
Filed under: Panax ginseng (ginseng)
Lineage: Eukaryota; Viridiplantae; Streptophyta; Magnoliopsida; Apiales; Araliaceae
Description: long non-coding RNA (PGIN_LNC017312)
Source: RNAcentral